GAUGAACGCUAGCGGGAGGCCUAACACAUGCAAGCCGAGCGGUAGAGAUCUUUCGGGAUCUUGAGAGCGGCGUACGGGUGCGGAACACGUGUGCAACCUGCCUUUAUCAGGGGGAUAGCCUUUCGAAAGGAAGAUUAAUACCCCAUAAUAUAUUAAGUGGCAUCAUUUGAUAUUGAAAACUCCGGUGGAUAGAGAUGGGCACGCGCAAGAUUAGAUAGUUGGUAGGGUAACGGCCUACCAAGUCAGUGAUCUUUAGGGGGCCUGAGAGGGUGAUCCCCCACACUGGUACUGAGACACGGACCAGACUCCUACGGGAGGCAGCAGUGAGGAAUAUUGGACAAUGGGUGAGAGCCUGAUCCAGCCAUCCCGCGUGAAGGACGACGGCCCUAUGGGUUGUAAACUUCUUUUGUAUAGGGAUAAACCUUUCCACGUGUGGAAAGCUGAAGGUACUAUACGAAUAAGCACCGGCUAACUCCGUGCCAGCAGCCGCGGCAAUACGGAGGGUGCAAGCGUUAUCCGGAUUUAUUGGGUUUAAAGGGUCCGUAGGCGGAUCUGUAAGUCAGUGGUGAAAUCUCAUAGCUUAACUAUGAAACUGCCAUUGAUACUGCAGGUCUUGAGUAAAGUAGAAGUGGCUGGAAUAAGUAGUGUAGCGGUGAAAUGCAUAGAUAUUACUUAGAACACCAAUUGCGAAGGCAGGUCACUAUGUUUUAACUGACGCUGAUGGACGAAAGCGUGGGGAGCGAACAGGAUUAGAUACCCUGGUAGUCCACGCCGUAAACGAUGCUAACUCGUUUUUGGGUUUUCGGAUUCAGAGACUAAGCGAAAGUGAUAAGUUAGCCACCUGGGGAGUACGUUUGCAAGAAUGAAACUCAAAGGGAUUGACGGGGGCCCGCACAAGCGGUGGAUUAUGUGGUUUAACUCGAUGAUACGCGAGGAACCUUACCAAGGCUUAAAUGGGAAUUGACAGGUUUAGAAAUAGACUUUUCUUCGGACAAUUUUCAAGGUGCUGCAUGGUUGUCGUCAGCUCGUGCCGUGAGGUGUUAGGUUAAGUCCUGCAACGAGCGCAACCCCUGUCACUAGUUGCCAUCAUUCAGUUGGGGACUCUAGUGAGACUGCCUACGCAAGUAGAGAGGAAGGUGGGGAUGACGUCAAAUCAUCACGGCCCUUACGCCUUGGGCCACACACGUAAUACAAUGGCCGGCACAGAGGGCGGCUACCUAGCGAUAGGAUGCGAAUCUCGAAAGCCGGUCCCAGUUCGGAUUGGAGUCUGCAACUCGACUCUAUGAAGCUGGAAUCGCUAGUAAUCGCAUAUCAGCCAUGAUGCGGUGAAUACGUUCCCGGGCCU
Molecule: ribosomal RNA, 1345 nt
Filed under: uncultured bacterium
Lineage: Bacteria
Description: bacterial SSU rRNA
Rfam family: Bacterial small subunit ribosomal RNA
Source: RNAcentral